AGGCUGGUGAAUGCCCCCAGAAAAACUGGGGUCUGGAUGACCCUAAGGGUGUAUGUAUGUAUAUGAGUAUGCAGGAGUGUGUGUGUGUUCACAAGCAAUCUGAGUGGCUGGCCGUGUGUGUGUGUGUGUGUGUGUGUGUGUGCACAGAUAUAAAGACAAACUGCAGUCUGGUUCUGUCUGGGUAACAUGUGUGUGAUGUGUGUAUAUUUACAAGUAUUUCCUAACCUAGUUUAGUGACGUUGUAAUCUUGUGGCUGAGCAUGCAUGUGUACAUGUAUGUGUAUAUAUGUGUGUUUACAAUGUAAUCUCAAGCCUGCAUGUGAGUGACUAGUGUGACCGUGUGUGUUUGUGUUUUACAUGCACAUUCCAGCCUGGUUCCAUACCCCAAGACCCCAUAGAAUAUGAAGGUCCUCUGAUGAGCCCAGUACAUCCUGACGCUGGCUGAGUGCUGGGUGGAGUAUGUAUAGGUGACUGGUGUUUACCAGCAACUUUGACCAGCCACCAGCCUUUGUCUGGUGCCCACUUCCCAUGGCCCCUAAAUUCCUCACCCUGGUAGGACCCUGGCUGUCCUUGCUCUGGACUGCCUUCCCCAAGGAGUCCCUUUAACUCACAGCCCCUUUCCUGGCCAGGGGGCUGGGAGUUGGGGGAUAUUCAUCUCGGGGAGUUUUUGUUCUGCCUCAUGAAAAGCCUCAAUGGCUGGGAAUACCAUUCUAAUUACGGGGAAGCCCAGCUUAUGUGGGGGACACAAAGGGCUGUGGUCUCAUAGCAGCUCCUUCCAUCCGUCAAAUAAGGCCGUCUAAUGACGGGGUGAGAGCUGUGAAUGCCUAAAACAAACUCGAAAAGGAGGGAAAAUAAAGCCGCCGGGGGCUUAAAAUAUAUUAAAUUACCCUGAUUAGGAGCCGUGGCUUUGCAGGCACUAGUUGGAGAGGCUGGGGAGGCUGUGAGUCCCACUAUUCAUGUCAGGGGGGAAGAGGGGUCAGUAGGUCGGGGGCGGGGGGUGUUCACAGAGCCCUAGCCCAUUCUCAUGCUAACACCAGGGACACACUGCAGGCUUACUGGGCUGGAAAAUAGAAAUGAAUUUGCCGUAAUCCUCCUUCUUCUCUCGUUCUCUCUCUCUCUCUCUCUCUCUCUCUCUCUCUCUCUCUCUCUCUCUCUCCCUCUGCAGCCCAGGAGAAGCUUUGCCUAAUCACAGCCUGUUAGAGCCUGCUGGGCAUUGGGGCAGAGCCACACCCCAGAGCCUGUGUCCCUCAGCCCUCUCAUCCCCUUGCCCCUUUCUGUGGGGUCCAGAAUGAGAAUGGGCUCCAGGGCACACGUGAAGGAGCAGUAAAGGCAGGCGGUGGGGUUCCAGUGGAUGGGGAGUGCCAGGCCCUUUUCCAGCGUACAAUUAUUUACAAUCCACAAUUACCCCUUUAAGCACAUGUACACAAUUCACAGACACAAAUAUCCCUUUACUCUUCACACAACUCCUCACAACACAUCCCUUCACAAACACACACUUAGAUAGGCACAAAUACAUCUGUACACAAUAUGCUUCUUCAAGGGCAAAUACACAUCUACUCCUUCAAGGGCAAAUACACACAAAUACACACAGGCACCCACGGAGCUCUUUACAGGCACCCACGCAUGGAGACAUAGCCCUUCUCAGACGGCCAUAGGCUGCCUCCAACACACACAUGCACCAACACGUGCACCAACACAUAUGUGCAUACCCAUGCAGACUCCUGCACACCCCUUCAGGCAUACCUCCAGAACCACGACCUAGUACAACUGCAAUGUUUCACAACGGAGGAAACUGAGGUGGAUGUCCGCGCCUCCACGGUGCACAUAAUGAAUCCCUCC
This 1838-nucleotide long non-coding RNA is filed under the name Homo sapiens (human). RNAcentral's name for it is "HSALNT0224357". The record is from RNAcentral. Lineage: Eukaryota; Metazoa; Chordata; Mammalia; Primates; Hominidae.